RNAcentral lists this ribosomal RNA (255 nucleotides) under Klebsiella pneumoniae. RNAcentral's name for it is "partial 23S ribosomal RNA". It matches the Rfam family "Bacterial large subunit ribosomal RNA", at positions 2061 to 2319 of the family's 2925-position model. Lineage: Bacteria; Pseudomonadati; Pseudomonadota; Gammaproteobacteria; Enterobacterales; Enterobacteriaceae. The record is from RNAcentral.
GCAGUGUACCCGCGGCAAGACGGAAAGACCCCGUGAACCUUUACUAUAGCUUGACACUGAACAUUGAGCCUUGAUGUGUAGGAUAGGUGGGAGGCUUUGAAGCGUGGACGCCAGUCUGCGUGGAGCCGACCUUGAAAUACCACCCUUUAAUGUUUGAUGUUCUAACGUUGGCCCCUUACCGGGGUUGCGGACAGUGUCUGGUGGGUAGUUUGACUGGGGCGGUCUCCUCCCAAAGCGUAACGGAGGCGCGCGUGC